Molecule: ribosomal RNA, 264 nt
Filed under: Vibrio vulnificus
Lineage: Bacteria; Pseudomonadati; Pseudomonadota; Gammaproteobacteria; Vibrionales; Vibrionaceae
Description: partial 16S ribosomal RNA
Rfam family: Bacterial small subunit ribosomal RNA
Source: RNAcentral
AAUCCCAAAAAGUGCGUCGUAGUCCGGAUUGGAGUCUGCAACUCGACUCCAUGAAGUCGGAAUCGCUAGUAAUCGUGGAUCAGAAUGCCACGGUGAAUACGUUCCCGGGCCUUGUACACACCGCCCGUCACACCAUGGGAGUGGGCUGCAAAAGAAGUGGGUAGUUUAACCUUCGGGAGGACGCUCACCACUUUGUGGUUCAUGACUGGGGUGAAGUCGUAACAAGGUAGCGCUAGGGGAACCUGGCGCUGGAUCACCUCCUUA